Molecule: ribosomal RNA, 218 nt
Filed under: uncultured bacterium
Lineage: Bacteria
Description: partial 16S ribosomal RNA
Rfam family: Bacterial small subunit ribosomal RNA
Source: RNAcentral
ACGCUCGACACCUACGGGAGGCAGCAGUGAGGAAUAUUGGUCAAUGGGCGCUAGCCUGAACCAGCCAAGUAGCGUGAAGGAUGAAGGCUCUAUGGGUCGUAAACUUCUUUUAUAUAAGAAUAAAGUGCAGUAUGUAUACUGUUUUGUAUGUAUUAUAUGAAUAAGGAUCGGCUAACUCCGUGCCCGCAGCCGCGGUAAUCUGAGCGGGCUGGCAAGGC